CUCCGACAUGACGCAUGUCGUGUCGGGAAAGAUUCAUCGGUAUGGGAUGGGGUCGCGUCCUAUCAGCUUGAUGGCGGGGUAACGGCCCACCAUGGCUUCGACGGGUAGCCGGCCUGAGAGGGCGACCGGCCACAUUGGGACUGAGAUACGGCCCAGACUCCUACGGGAGGCAGCAGUGGGGAAUAUUGCACAAUGGGCGCAAGCCUGAUGCAGCGACGCCGCGUGCGGGAUGACGGCCUUCGGGUUGUAAACCGCUUUUGACUGGGAGCAAGCCCUUCGGGGUGAGUGUACCUUUCGAAUAAGCACCGGCUAACUACGUGCCAGCAGCCGCGGUAAUACGUAGGGUGCAAGCGUUAUCCGGAAUUAUUGGGCGUAAAGGGCUCGUAGGCGGUUCGUCGCGUCCGGUGUGAAAGUCCAUCGCUUAACGGUGGAUCCGCGCCGGGUACGGGCGGGCUUGAGUGCGGUAGGGGAGACUGGAA
Molecule: ribosomal RNA, 479 nt
Filed under: uncultured Bifidobacterium sp.
Lineage: Bacteria; Bacillati; Actinomycetota; Actinomycetes; Bifidobacteriales; Bifidobacteriaceae
Description: bacterial SSU rRNA
Rfam family: Bacterial small subunit ribosomal RNA
Source: RNAcentral